Molecule: ribosomal RNA, 714 nt
Filed under: Septobasidium carestianum
Lineage: Eukaryota; Fungi; Basidiomycota; Pucciniomycetes; Septobasidiales; Septobasidiaceae
Description: eukaryotic LSU rRNA
Rfam family: Eukaryotic large subunit ribosomal RNA
Source: RNAcentral
CCCCCAGUAACGGCGAGUGAAGAGGGAAAAGCCCAAAUUUGUAAUCUGGCCCUUUCAGGGUCCGAGUUGUAAUCUCGAGAACUGUUUUCCGUGCUGGACCGCGUACAAGUCUGUUGGAAUAUAGCUUCAUAGAGGGUGAGAAUCCCGUACAUGACGCGGACUACCAGUACAAUGUGAUACAGUCUCUAAGAGUCGAGUUGUUUGGGAAUGCAGCUCAAAAUGGGUGGUAAAUUCCAUCUAAGGCUAAAUAUUGGCGAGAGACCGAUAGCGAACAAGUACCGUGAGGGAAAGAUGAAAAGCACUUUGGAAAGAGAGUUAACAGUACGUGAAAUUGUUGAAAGGGAAACGCUUGAAGUCAGUCUUGUACUUUGUUGUUCAGCCCUCGGGUGUAUUCAACUUUGAACAGGCCAGCAUCAGUUUCAGAUGUCGGAUAAGGGUAGAGGAAACGUAGCAGUCUCGGCUGUGUUAUAGUCCUUUACUUGAUACGACGUUCGGGACUGAGGAACGCAGUGAGCCUUUUGGCGGGUCUUCGGAUCUUCUCACUAUGGAUGCUGGCGUAAUGGCUUUAAACGACCCGUCUUGAAACACAGACCAAGGAGUCUAACAUGCUUGCGAGUGUUUGGGUGUCAAACCCGGGCGCGUAAUGAAAGUGAAUGUAGGUGGGAAUCGCAAGAUGCACCAUCGACCGGCCUGGAUUUUUAAUGAUGGGUCUGA